Molecule: ribosomal RNA, 1469 nt
Filed under: uncultured Bordetella sp.
Lineage: Bacteria; Pseudomonadati; Pseudomonadota; Betaproteobacteria; Burkholderiales; Alcaligenaceae
Description: partial 16S-23S ribosomal RNA intergenic spacer
Rfam family: Bacterial small subunit ribosomal RNA
Source: RNAcentral
AGUUCGAUCUUGGCUCAGAUUGAACGCUGGCGGGAUGCUUUGCAUGCAGUCGAACGGCAGCACGGACUUCGGUCUGGUGGCGAGUAUGGCGAACGGGUGAGUAAUGUAUCGGAACGUGCCUAGUAGCGGGGGAUAACUACGCGAAAGCGUAGCUAAUACAUACACCCAUGCAAGGGGAAAAGCAAGGGGACCUUCGAGCCUCUCCGCACUAUUAGAAGCAGCCGAUAUCGGAUUAGCUAGUUGGUGGGAGUAACGGCUCACCAAGGCGACGAUCCGUAGCUGGUUUGAGAGGACGACCAGCCACACUGGGACUGAGACACGGCCCGAACUCCUACGGAGGCAGCAGUGAAGAAUUUUGGACAAUGGAAACCCUGAUCCAUCAUCCCGCGUGUGCGAUGAAGGCCUUCAGGUUGUAAAGCACUUUGGCAGGAAAGAAACGGCUGGGGAUAAUGCCCGUGCAACUGACGUACCUGCAGAAUAAGCACCGGCUAACUACGUGCCAGCAGCCGCGGUAAUACGUAGGGUGCAAGCGUUAAUCGGAAUUACUGGGCGUAAAGCGUGCGCAGGCGGUUCGAAGAAGAUGUGAAAUCCAGAGCUUAACUUUGGAACUGCAUUUUAACUACCGAGCUAGAGAGUGUAUCAGAGGGAGGUGGAAUUCCGCGUGUAGCAGUGAAAUGCGUAGAUAUGCGGAGGAACACCCGAUGGCAGAGGCGGCCUCCUGGACCUAACACUGACAGCUGUCACACAGCAGCGUGGGAGCAAACGGGAUUAGAUACCCUGUUAGUCGCCCUAAACGAUGUCAACUAGCUGUUGAGGCCUUCGGGCCUUGGUAGCGCAGCUAACGCGUGAAGGAAUUUGACAACCGCCUGGGAAGCUACGGUCGCAGAAAAGUUGAAACUCAAGGUGACGAGGUUACUUACAAGCGGUGGAUGACAAUAGUUAAUUCGAUGCAACGCGAAAAACCUUUUUCACUUAGCCCUUGUCUGGAAUCCCGAAGAGAUUUGGAUUGCUCGCAAGAGAACGGAACACCGGUGCUGCAUGGCUGUCGUCAAGCUCGUGUCAUUGAGGAUGUUAGAGUUUAGAGUCCCUGCCGAAACAGCCCGCGUCGAUGAAUUUGCUACGAAAAGGCACUCUGAGGCUGCGGUGACAAACCCGGAGGAAGGUGGGGAUGACGUCCGUCAUGGCGCUAUGGGUGAGCUUCCCGUCAUACAACUGGUGUCGGGACGGGUCCGCCAGCCGAAGGCCAAUCCAGAAAACCCGAUCGUAGUCGGAUCGCAUUCACCAACUCGACUGCGUGAAGUCAGAUCGCUAAUCGGAUCGGCAUGUCGCAGUGAAUACGUUCCGGGUCUUGUACACCGCCGUCACCAUGGGAGUGGGUUUUACCAAGUAGUUAAGCCUAACCGUAGGAGGGCGAUUCUGUUGGUCGCAAGCUGGGGUGAAGUCGCUCAGUAGCUGUUCCUGAUAUCAAG